RNAcentral lists this transfer RNA (73 nucleotides) under Paramuricea clavata. It matches the Rfam family "tRNA". From Rfam's summary of the family: Transfer RNA (tRNA) molecules are approximately 80 nucleotides in length. The record is from Rfam by way of RNAcentral. Lineage: Eukaryota; Metazoa; Cnidaria; Anthozoa; Malacalcyonacea; Plexauridae.
GAUCGCGUAGCUCAGCUGGCAGAGCAUUGGGCUAGUAUUCCAAAGGUCGUAGGUUCGAUUCCCACCGUGGCCA